Molecule: ribosomal RNA, 301 nt
Filed under: uncultured bacterium
Lineage: Bacteria
Description: partial 16S ribosomal RNA
Rfam family: Bacterial small subunit ribosomal RNA
Source: RNAcentral
CAGUAGCCGCGGUAAAACGUAGGUGGCAAGCGUUGUCCGGAAUUAUUGGGCGUAAAGGGCUCGCAGGCGGUUUCUUAAGUCUGAUGUGAAAGCCCCCGGCUCAACCGGGGAGGGUCAUUGGAAACUGGGAAACUUGAGUGCGGAAGAGGAGAGUGGAAUUCCACGUGUAGCGGUGAAAUGCGUAGAGAUGUGGAGGAGCACCAGUGGCGAAGGCGACUCUCUGGUCUGUAACUGACGCUGAGGAGCGAAAGCGUGGGGAGCGAACAGGAUUAGAUACCCCUGUAGUCCAUGUCUCUUAUAC